RNAcentral lists this unclassified non-coding RNA (234 nucleotides) under Hevea brasiliensis (rubber tree). The record is from RNAcentral. Lineage: Eukaryota; Viridiplantae; Streptophyta; Magnoliopsida; Malpighiales; Euphorbiaceae.
UAAAGUGGAAUUUAAUGGUGGCUUUCUGAAAAUGGUUCCAUCCAGGAGCAUAAAUUGUAGUGAUCAAAAAAUGUUUCGCUCAGUUCUCAAAGCUAAAGUUUCUUGGCCUCGUAGGUACAGUAAAGGAGUAGGCUUUCUGAGAUGUGAUCCUAUGGAUGUUCCUUUAAUUUUAGAUGACCUCUCUGAUCUUAUGAUUGGUGGAAAUGUCAUCCGUUGUGAGGCAAGCGAUAAGAA